CUGAGAGACCGAUAGUGAACCAGUACUGUGAAGGAAAGGUGAAAAGUACUCCGAACAGGAGGGUGAAAUAGAACCUGAAACCGUACGCUUACAAGCGGUGGGAGCUUCGUAAUGGAGUGACCGCGUGCCUUUUGCAUAAUGAGCCUACGAGUUACUGUCACUGGCGAGGUUAACCCCGUAGACGGGGGCAGCCGGAGCGAAAGCGAGUCUGAAUAGGGCGCACAGUCAGUGGGAGUAGACGCGAAACUUUGUGAUCUACCCUUGGCCAGGAUGAAGUUAGGGUAACACCUGAUGGAGGUCCGAACUAGUAAACGUUGAAAAGUUUUUGGAUGAGCUGAGGGUAGGGGUGAAAGGCUAAUCAAACUGAGAAAUAGCUCGUACUCCCCGAAAUGCCUUUAGGGGCAGCGUGAGGGUUAAGUUUAACACAGGUAGAGCUACCAAUUGGACUAGGGGGAGUCACAUCCUACCAAAUCCAGAUGAACUCCGAAUGGUGUUAAAUAUACCUUGCAGUGAGGGCAUGGGUGCUAAGGUCCGUGUCCGAGAGGGAAAGAACCCAGAUCUACAGCUAAGGUCCCAAAAUGUACACUAAGUUGAACUAAGGCGGUUCAGUUGCCUAGACAGCCAGGAUGUUUGCUUGGAAGCAGCAAUUCAUUUAAAGAGUGCGUAACAGCUCACUGGUCGAGCGACAGAGCAUCGAUAAUAAUCGGGCAUCAAGUAUAGUACCGAAGCUUGGGAUUUAUCCGCCAUCUGGCGGAUGAGUGGUAGGGGAGCAUUCUAUUCCGCGGAGAAGCAGUCUGGUAAUGGAUUGUGGAGCGUAUAGAAAAGCAAAUGUAGGCAUAAGUAACGAUAAGGCGGGUGAGAAACCCGCCCACCGAUAGACUAAGGAUUCCGCGGCAAUGCUAAUCAACCGCGGGUAAGUCGGGACCUAAGGCGAAGCCGAGAGGCGUAGUCGAUGGACAACCGGUUAAUAUUCCGGUACUACCGUUAUAAGCGAAGUGGAGAAGGAGGAGUGACAGCUCCGCGAACUGACGAAAUAGUUCGUUGAAAGGCGUAGGUAUAGGCCGUGCAGGAAAAUCCGCAUGGUUUGCUGAAACCCAAUAGUACCUGGAGGCUUCGGCCAAAGGGAUAGAGAGCGUAAGCAGACUUCCAAGAAAACCCGCUAGCGUUAAUUAUAAAGGUACCCGUACCGCAAACCGACACAGGUAGUCAAGGAGAGAAUCCUGAGGUGCUCGAGUGAAUCAUGGCUAAGGAACUCGGCAAAUUAACCCUGUAACUUCGGGAGAAGGGGUGCCUAAUUUCUAGCAAUAGAGAAAGGUCGCAGAGAAAUGGCCCAGGCGACUGUUUAACAAAAACACAUGGCUUUGCGAAAUCGCAAGAUGAAGUAUAAGGCCUGACACCUGCCCGGUGCUGGAAGGUUAAGGGGGGACGUUAGUGGGUAACUGCGAAGCGUUGAACUGAAGCCCCAGUAAACGGCGGCCGUAACUAUAACGGUCCUAAGGUAGCGAAAUUCCUUGUCGGGUAAGUUCCGACCUGCACGAAUGGUGUAACGAUCUGGGCACUGUCUCAGCCAUGAGCUCGGUGAAAUUGUAGUCACGGUGAAGAUGCCGUGUACCCG
This 1615-nucleotide ribosomal RNA is filed under the name bioreactor sludge metagenome. RNAcentral describes it as "bacterial LSU rRNA". It matches the Rfam family "Bacterial large subunit ribosomal RNA", at positions 476 to 2072 of the family's 2925-position model. The record is from RNAcentral.